GUCCUAGCAGUAAACGGUGCACGCUUGGUGUGGGAGGAAUCGACCCCUUCCGUGCCGGAGCUAACGCGUUAAGCGUGCCGCCUGGGAAGUACGGUCGCAAGACUAAAACUCAAAGAAAUUGACGGGGACCCGCACAAGCGGUGGAGUAUGUGGCUUAAUUCGAUGCAACGCGAAGAACCUUACCUGGGCUUGACAUGCAUUUCUAAGGCGGUGAAAGCCGUCGACUGGAGCAAUCCAGAACUUGCACAGGUGCUGCAUGGCUGUCGU
Molecule: ribosomal RNA, 267 nt
Filed under: uncultured bacterium
Lineage: Bacteria
Description: partial 16S ribosomal RNA
Rfam family: Bacterial small subunit ribosomal RNA
Source: RNAcentral